Molecule: ribosomal RNA, 483 nt
Filed under: uncultured bacterium
Lineage: Bacteria
Description: partial 16S ribosomal RNA
Rfam family: Bacterial small subunit ribosomal RNA
Source: RNAcentral
AUUGAACGCUGGCGGCAUGCUUUACACAUGCAAGUCGAACGGCAGCGCGGGCUUCGGCCUGGCGGCGAGUGGCGAACGGGUGAGUAAUGCAUCGGAACGUGCCCAGUAGUGGGGGAUAGCCCGGCGAAAGCCGGAUUAAUACCGCAUACGACCUGAGGGUGAAAGCGGGGGACCGAAAGGCCUCGCGCUAUUGGAGCGGCCGAUGUCGGAUUAGCUAGUUGGUGGGGUAAAGGCUUACCAAGGCGACGAUCCGUAGCUGGUCUGAGAGGACGACCAGCCACACUGGGACUGAGACACGGCCCAGCCUCCUAGGGAGGCAGCAGUGGGGAAUUUUGGACAAUGGGGGCAACCCUGAUCCAGCCAUGCCGCGUGCGGGAAGAAGGCCUUCGGGUUGUAAACCGCUUUUGUUCGGGAAGAAAUCCUCUGGGCUAAUACCCCGGGGGGAUGACGGUACCGGAAGAAUAAGCACCGGCUAACUACGUG